GGGCAGGUACUCAAGUGGUCAACGAGGACAGACUGUAAAUCUGUUGCGCUUCGCUUCGAGGGUUCGAAUCCUUCCCUGCCCA
This 82-nucleotide transfer RNA is filed under the name hydrothermal vent metagenome. RNAcentral describes it as "tRNA-Tyr-GTA". It matches the Rfam family "tRNA". From Rfam's summary of the family: Transfer RNA (tRNA) molecules are approximately 80 nucleotides in length. The record is from RNAcentral.